Molecule: ribosomal RNA, 483 nt
Filed under: uncultured Sulfurihydrogenibium sp.
Lineage: Bacteria; Pseudomonadati; Aquificota; Aquificia; Aquificales; Hydrogenothermaceae
Description: bacterial SSU rRNA
Rfam family: Bacterial small subunit ribosomal RNA
Source: RNAcentral
CGCGAACGUUGGCGGCGUGCCUAACACAUGCAAGUCGUGGGGCAGCAGGCUACUGUCUUUUGGCAGUAGUGCUGGCGACCGGCAAACGGGUGAGUAACACGUAGCUUACCUACCCAUAGGUUGGGGAUAACAUCCCGAAAGGGGUGCUAAUACCCAAUAAUGAGGAGACUCCAAAGCCCUUAUGGGCGCCUAUGGAUGGGGCUGCGUCCCAUCAGCUAGUUGGUGAGGUAAUGGCUCACCAAGGCUACGACGGGUAACCGGUCUGAGAGGAUGACCGGUCACAGUGGGACUGAGACACGGCCCGCACCCCUACGGGGGGCAGCAGUGGGGAAUAUUGGGCAAUGGCCGAAAGGCUGACCCAGCAACGCCGCGUGGUGGAUGAAGCCCUUCGGGGUGUAAACACCUUUUCCGGGGGAAGAUAAUGACGGUACCCCAGGAAUAAGGGACGGCUAACUACGUGCCAGCAGCCGCGGUAAUACGUAG